RNAcentral lists this ribosomal RNA (385 nucleotides) under uncultured bacterium. Its description in RNAcentral is "bacterial SSU rRNA". It matches the Rfam family "Bacterial small subunit ribosomal RNA", at positions 30 to 416 of the family's 1533-position model. The record is from RNAcentral.
AUUGAACGCUGGCGGCAUGCCUUACACAUGCAAGUCGAACGGCAGCACGGGAGCAAUCCUGGUGGCGAGUGGCGAACGGGUGAGUAAUGUAUCGGAACGUACCUUUCAGUGGGGGAUAACGUAGCGAAAGUUACGCUAAUACCGCAUAUUCUGUGAGCAGGAAAGCAGGGGAUCGCAAGACCUUGCGCUGAUUGAGCGGCCGAUAUCAGAUUAGCUAGUUGGUGAGGUAAAGGCUCACCAAGGCGACGAUCUGUAGCGGGUCUGAGAGGAUGAUCCGCCACACUGGAACUGAGACACGGUCCAGACUCCUACGGGAGGCAGCAGUGGGAAUUUUGGACAAUGGGCGCAAGCCUGAUCCAGCCAUGCCGCGUGAGUGAAGAAGGCC